CUAGAUAGACGGGCUUUGAUCCCAUAAAAUUUUAGUUAACAGCUAAACACCUAAACCAACAGGCUUUUAUCCG
Molecule: transfer RNA, 73 nt
Filed under: Cryptoblepharus keiensis
Lineage: Eukaryota; Metazoa; Chordata; Lepidosauria; Squamata; Scincidae
Description: tRNA-Asx
Source: RNAcentral